Long non-coding RNA from Panicum virgatum (switchgrass), 1363 nucleotides. RefSeq lists it as uncharacterized. NCBI's taxonomy places the organism in Eukaryota, Viridiplantae, Streptophyta, Magnoliopsida, Poales, Poaceae. The transcript has 2 exons. The record is from RefSeq and is a predicted model, not a curated record.
GGGGCGCCAAUUUGUGUCCUGGGUUCCUGACACUGACACCCCGGUUAACUUAACCAAACUGAAAAGAUUCACGAGCACCAGUGCUCUGCACCGAGCUCCAAACGGGAAAUUAAAAUGACCCCAGGGCGCCGUUCCGCCGGGUAUACGGACGGCCGCCAGACUUUGGCGGCAUGGAGCGGACGGCUUUCGAGAUUCGGGAAAGCGUGCAGGUUUGAUUUUUUUUUCAAAGUAUAAGGUGAUAUCAAAUAGCGAAAUACAGGCCGCAAUAUGGUUAAAAUAAGAAAGGAAAGAAGGUCUGGGCUUCCCAACGCUUGUUCCGAGAAAUAUCUGGACCAAACGCUCCGGUACUGGUGUUCAUCACUUGCGCACUUGAGCGUCAUGGACGAGGAAGGGGAUCUCGCCGACGGCCCUUGGAUCCCGACCUGGGAGCAGGCAAGGAAAUUGUUCAUCUCUUUCUUCUUGGGUGAUUUGCCAUUUCUCGUGAGUAAUUGGUAAAAAAACUGAUGUGGUUGGAGUGAGCACGUUGCCGGCGAGGAUGCUGAUCCUGUGCCGGCGCAAGUCCUCCGCGCCGCUGCAGCCGCCUCCGGAGAAGGUGCUGUAGCAGUACCUCGAGGAGCAGCUCAUCGCGCUGCUCAUCAAGGGGCCGGUUGCUAAGCGCCUCGCCGUCGGCGACCCCGAUGCCGAGGAAUCCGGCCGCUGGGAGGGGUUGGGAACUGGAUGCGCGGCACCUGACGCGUACACCGUCCAUGGCCUCCGCUGCUACGGGCCACGACGGAUCAGGCACCUCCUUCCGGCGGUCGGACCUCCGCCUUCUCGGCGUCAUGGGCCGCUCGCGCCCAUCCCAUUCAAGCCGGCCGAACUGCUGCCUUUCCUCUACAGCAAGAGUACCCCCAUUGACUCGUCGUCCGCGCGGUACAUCCUGCACUAGUACACGGCGACGUCGCCCGGCUACAAGCUGCUGCAGUCGGUGCAGGAUGGGCAAGGUCAGGAUGGUGGCGUCCGAGUUCGAGACUGCGACGCCGGUUAUCAAGAACCGCGGACCCACCAGUCGCGCAGCCGCCGCCGCCGUCGAGCAGGACAGCUUCGUGCUAUUGCAGAUGGCCCCCGACAUGUGGUAUUUAGAGCUUAGCAACAUCUCCAAUAGUUAGAUUGUUCUUGUGUGAGCAACAAAUGCAUCGUUUUGACACGAACAAAUUUCGAGAUGCUUUAUUUGCACAAUAUAUGUGCUGCCUUUUAUUCAACUUUUAUUUAAUCUCUUUUGUGGUUUUGUAAAGAAUGUGCAUCUAAUGAUUUCAUGAAAUAGUUUGUUUGCACAUGAAUACAUAGAGCAUUGUACCUUUGGUUAAUUUAUAAGAGUUUUUUA